UACAGAGGGUGCGAGCGUUAAUCGGAAUUACUGGGCGUAAAGCGCACGUAGGUGGCGACGUAAGUCGGGUGUGAAAGCCCCGGGCUCAAUCUGGGAAUUGCAUUCGAGACUGCAUUGCUGGAGUACGGAAGAGGAGGGCGGAAUUCCCGGUGUAGCGGUGAAAUGCGUAGAUAUCGGGAGGAACAUCAGUGGCGAAGGCGGCCCUCUGGUCCAGUACUGACACUCAAGUGCGAAAGCGUGGGGAGCAAACAGG
Molecule: ribosomal RNA, 253 nt
Filed under: uncultured bacterium
Lineage: Bacteria
Description: partial 16S ribosomal RNA
Rfam family: Bacterial small subunit ribosomal RNA
Source: RNAcentral